RNAcentral lists this transfer RNA (69 nucleotides) under Makalata macrura (Long-tailed armored tree-rat). RNAcentral describes it as "tRNA-Trp". The record is from RNAcentral. Lineage: Eukaryota; Metazoa; Chordata; Mammalia; Rodentia; Echimyidae.
UAGGAAAUUAGGUUAACUAGACCAAGAACCUUCAAAGUUCUAAGUAAAUAAUCUACUAUUUAUUUCCUG